This 107-nucleotide small nuclear RNA is filed under the name Vulpes vulpes (red fox). The record is from RNAcentral. Lineage: Eukaryota; Metazoa; Chordata; Mammalia; Carnivora; Canidae.
GUGCUCGCUUCGGCAACACAUAUACUAAAAUUGGAACGAUACAGAGAAGAUUAGCAUGGCCCCUGCACAAGGAUGACACGCAAAUUCGUGAAGCAUUCCAUAUUUAA